CAGCCGCCGGGGAAUACCAGCACCUCGAGUGGUCAGGAGGUUUAUUGGGCCUAAAGCAUCCGUAGCCGGUUGCAUAAGUUUUCGGUUAAAUCUAUGCGCUUAACGUAUAGGCCGCCGAAAAUACUGCGCAGCUAGGGAGUGGGAGAGGUACACGGUACUCGAUAGGAAGGGGUAAAAUCCUUUGAUCUAUUGAUGACCACCUGUGGCGAAGGCGGUGUACCAGAACACGUUCGACGGUGAGGGAUGAAAGCUGGGGGAGCAAACCGGAUUAGAUACCCCCGUAGUCCCUGUCUCUUAUACA
This 301-nucleotide ribosomal RNA is filed under the name uncultured bacterium. Its description in RNAcentral is "partial 16S ribosomal RNA". It matches the Rfam family "Archaeal small subunit ribosomal RNA", at positions 459 to 761 of the family's 1478-position model. The record is from RNAcentral.